Molecule: ribosomal RNA, 254 nt
Filed under: uncultured bacterium
Lineage: Bacteria
Description: partial 16S ribosomal RNA
Rfam family: Bacterial small subunit ribosomal RNA
Source: RNAcentral
GACGUAGGGCGCGAGCGUUGUCCGGAUUUAUUGGGCGUAAAGAGCUCGUAGGCGGCUUGUCGCGUCGACCGUGAAAACUUGGGGCUCAACCCCAAGCCUGCGGUCGAUACGGGCAGGCUAGAGUUCGGUAGGGGAGACUGGAAUUCCUGGUGUAGCGGUGAAAUGCGUAGAUAUCUGGAGGAACACCGGUGGCGAAGGCGGCAUCCUGGACCAACACUGACGCUGAGUGAGCGAAAGCCAGGGGAGCAAACGGG